UUACGGCCAUAUAACGUUGAAACACUAGUUCUCAUACGAUUACUGACGUUAAGCAACGUCGAGCCUGGUCGGGACGUAGAUGGGUAACCGUAUGGGAAUACCAGGUGCUC
Acanthosepion pharaonis is the source of this 110-nucleotide non-coding RNA. Lineage: Eukaryota; Metazoa; Mollusca; Cephalopoda; Sepiida; Sepiidae. The record is from the annotation of a GenBank genome assembly.